Molecule: ribosomal RNA, 512 nt
Filed under: uncultured bacterium
Lineage: Bacteria
Description: partial 16S ribosomal RNA
Rfam family: Bacterial small subunit ribosomal RNA
Source: RNAcentral
GAUGAACGCUGGCGGCGUGCCUAAUACAUGCAAGUCGAACGAAACUUCUUUAUCACCGAGUGCUUGCACUCACCGAUAAAGAGUUGAGUGGCGAACGGGUGAGUAACACGUGGGCAACCUGCCCAAAAGAGGGGGAUAACACUUGGAAACAGGUGCUAAUACCGCAUAACCAUAGUUACCGCAUGGUAACUCUGUAAAAGGUGGCUAUACUACCGCUUUUGGAUGGGCCCGCGGCGCAUUAGCUAGUUGGUAGGGUAAAGGCUUACCAAGGCAAUGAUGCGUAGCCGAAUUGAGAGGUUGAUCGGCCACAUUGGGACUGAGACACGGCCCAAACUCCUACGGGAGGCAGCAGUAGGGAAUCUUCCACAAUGGGCGAAAGCCUGAUGGAGCAACGCCGCGUGGGUGAAGAAGGUCUUCGGAUCGUAAAACCCUGUUGUUAGAGAAGAAAGUGCGUGAGAGUAACUGUUCACGUUUCGACGGUAUCUAACCAGAAAGCCACGGCUAACUACGUG